Molecule: ribosomal RNA, 449 nt
Filed under: uncultured bacterium
Lineage: Bacteria
Description: bacterial SSU rRNA
Rfam family: Bacterial small subunit ribosomal RNA
Source: RNAcentral
UCCAGACUCCUACGGGAGGCAGCAGUGGGGAAUAUUGCACAAUGGGGGAAACCCUGAUGCAGCGACGCCGCGUGAGUGAAGAAGUAUUUCGGUAUGCAAAGCUCUAUCAGCAGGGAAGAAAAAAGACGGUACCUGACUAAGAAGCCCCGGCUAACUACGUGCCAGCAGCCGCGGUAAUACGUAGGGGGCAAGCGUUAUCCGGAUUUACUGGGUGUAAAGGGAGCGUAGACGGCAAUACAAGUCGGAAGUGAAAUACCCGGGCUCAACCUGGGAACUGCUUUGGAAACUGUAUGGCUGGAGUGCUGGAGAGGUAAGCGGAAUUCCUAGUGUAGCGGUGAAAUGCGUAGAUAUUAGGAGGAACACCAGUGGCGAAGGCGGCUUACUGGACAGUAACUGACGUUGAGGCUCGAAAGCGUGGGGAGCAAACAGGAUUAGAUACCCUGGUACUU